Neltuma alba is the source of this 240-nucleotide long non-coding RNA. RefSeq lists it as uncharacterized. The transcript has 3 exons. NCBI's taxonomy places the organism in Eukaryota, Viridiplantae, Streptophyta, Magnoliopsida, Fabales, Fabaceae. The record is from RefSeq and is a predicted model, not a curated record.
CAGCCAACAAAGCAAAUUCCCUCCCAGAUGGAUAAUUGACCCUCCUUUAGACGUCACUGUUCCAUCGAAAAAAAAGUCCUUGGCCAGAUGCUGCCCCUGAGCUCUCAUCAAACGAAAGUUGUCAAUUAGCACUCAAGAGCUGCCAACUAAAUCUACAACAUCUCAAUCCAGGCGCAUCCGAAAGAGAAAGAGUGAAAUCAAAGUGAUCCGUUCACAAGUCUCUACAAAUUCUGAACAGAA